AUUGAACGCUGGCGGCAGGCCUAACACAUGCAAGUCGAGCGGCAGCGGGACCUUCGGGUUGCCGGCGAGCGGCGGACGGGUGAGUAAUGCCUAGGAAUCUGCCUGUUAGUGGGGGAUAACGCGGGGAAACUCGCGCUAAUACCGCAUACGUCCUACGGGAGAAAGCGGGGGCUCUUCGGACCUCGCGCUAACAGAUGAGCCUAGGUCGGAUUAGCUAGUUGGUGGGGUAAUGGCUCACCAAGGCGACGAUCCGUAACUGGUCUGAGAGGAUGAUCAGGCACACUGGAACUGAGACACGGUCCAGACUCCUCCGGGAGGCAGCAGUGGGGAAUAUGGGACAAGGGGCGAAAGCCUGAUCCAGCCAUGCCGCGUGUGUGAAGAAGGUCUUCGGAUUGUAAAGCACUUUAAGUCGGGAGGAAGGGCUGUAGGCUAAUACCUUGCAGUUUUGACGUUACCGACAGAAUAAGCACCGGCUAACUUCGUGCCAGCCGCCGCCGUAA
RNAcentral lists this ribosomal RNA (500 nucleotides) under uncultured bacterium. Its description in RNAcentral is "partial 16S ribosomal RNA". It matches the Rfam family "Bacterial small subunit ribosomal RNA", at positions 30 to 523 of the family's 1533-position model. The record is from RNAcentral.